This 30-nucleotide non-coding RNA is filed under the name Mus musculus (house mouse). Lineage: Eukaryota; Metazoa; Chordata; Mammalia; Rodentia; Muridae. The record is from RNAcentral.
GAAGAGGAAAAAAAAAUGCCUUUGAAGCAA